GACGAACGCUGGCGGCGUGCUUAACACAUGCAAGUCGAACGGAAAGGCGCUGCUCUUGCGGGGUGCUCGAGGGGAGAAGGGGUGAGUAACACGUGAGUAACCUGCCCUUGACUUUGGGAUAACGUCAGGAAACUGGGGCUAAUACAGGAUAGGAGCUCCUGCUGCAGGGUGGGGGAUGGGAAGUUGAGGAGGUUGGGGCUGGACUCGCGGCUUAUCAGCUUGUUGGGGGAGUAGUGGCUUACCCAGGCUUUGACGGGUAGUCGGCCUGAGAGGUUGACCGGCCACAUGACGACUGAGAUACGGCCCAGUCGCCUACUGUAGGCAGCAGUGGGGAAUAUUGCACAAUGGGCGGAAGCCUGAUGCAGCGACGCCGCGUUCGGAAUGACGGCCUGCUGGGUGUAAACCGCUUUCGCCUGAUACGAAGCGGGAGUGACGGUAAUGGGUAAAUAAGCACCGGCUAACUACGUG
This 468-nucleotide ribosomal RNA is filed under the name uncultured bacterium. RNAcentral's name for it is "partial 16S ribosomal RNA". It matches the Rfam family "Bacterial small subunit ribosomal RNA", at positions 28 to 507 of the family's 1533-position model. The record is from RNAcentral.